This 1117-nucleotide long non-coding RNA is filed under the name Coffea arabica (coffee). Its description in RNAcentral is "long non-coding RNA (CARA_LNC001938)". The record is from RNAcentral. Lineage: Eukaryota; Viridiplantae; Streptophyta; Magnoliopsida; Gentianales; Rubiaceae.
CACCAUUAACAGCCACACUAACACCACGACCACGACCUCGUAAGUUUAGCACCAUCAAAGCCUCUUAAACCUUAUCCAAUGAAUUAAUCCCGAAAAAUCAUCAGACAAAAAAGGAAAAUCAACAACAAAAUAUCCCAUACACAAAUCUUUUCAUGAUAGGUGGAUUUCCACCACACUGUUACCAUAACCUCUCGACCUCUCGAAUCCAUUAGGAUGGCCAUCUUUCCCUCCAGAAAAAGUAAAACCUUUUUUCUUUUUGUCAACACCAUAUUUUAAAUUCCAAUCCUUCAACAAUUAAUUCAAAUUUUCUAACUCCUCCAAGAUUGAAUUUCACACCACCUUUGCUCAGCUCCUCGUUGGUAGGAUGGGAGGCGUAAAACCCUUCCUUGGGACAGCAAACCGGAAGCGUGAAGGCAGUGGAGGAGGGAGAGGUGGGGUGUUGCAACUUCUUCUCUGGGAGUGGAGUUGGGGAAGCUGGGUAGGGGAUAGAAAGCGAGGAGUUGGGUUUCACUACUGUUUGUUUUCUGAGAUAAUUCUAUGAUGGGGUUUUGUGGGACUCUGGUGAUUGAAUUCACAAUGCAGGAAUUUUUUUCAUUUGAAACCCUUUACUUUUAUUAGCUAAUUAUUGGUGCCAAAUUUGCAUAUAUAUACAAUGAUAGUGUAUAUAGUGUUAUUGUCAGUGCAGGAAAAAAUUAAUCCUAUAUUAUAUGGAUAAAAAAGGGUAUUUUUGGAACAAAAGACGAUAAUGGUCCUUUUAAUUGCCAGAGUUUAGUGGAUUGUAGUAGAUUGCCAAAAAUCAAAACUUGAAAGUUGUUGAUUGCUAAAAUUAAGGUUUAGAGGCGCAAACUGCAAUAAACCAAUUUUUAGCCAAAGAGUGAGAUAAGUUUUAGAGUGACUUGCAUUUUUUUGUUUUUUUUUUUGUUUUAAUGUAAACAGGAGGACUCAAAUUCGAGACCUCUCACUUAUACUCCCUUCUCCCGUACCACCAAACCCAACCUUCCCCCAAAGAGUGACUUGCAUUUUCUUAUGUUUAAUGUUACAUUGUCUAUAUCUAUUGUUUGUAAGCUCACAAAUAAUAAAACAAUUUUUUUUUGUUGCAUUUUAAACAAGAUUUUAC